RNAcentral lists this ribosomal RNA (437 nucleotides) under uncultured Bacillota bacterium. RNAcentral describes it as "bacterial SSU rRNA". It matches the Rfam family "Bacterial small subunit ribosomal RNA", at positions 917 to 1359 of the family's 1533-position model. Lineage: Bacteria; Bacillati; Bacillota. The record is from RNAcentral.
GGACCCGCACAAGCAGCGGAGCGUGUGGUUUAAUUCGAAGCAACGCGAAGAACCUUACCAAGUCUUGACAUCGUAUGACAAUCCGUAGAGAUACGGUAUUCCGCAAGGACAUACAGACAGAUGGUGCAUGGUUGUCGUCAGCUCGUGCCGUGAGGUGUUAGGUUAAGUCCUGCAACGAGCGCAACCCUUACCGAUAGUUACCAUUGACGGAUUAACUCUAUCGGGACUGCCUGGGUCAACCAGGAGGAAGGUGGGGAUGACGUCAAAUCAUCAUGCCUCUUACGACUUGGGCUACACACGCGCUACAAUGGCCGUUACAAAGAGACGCCAACCCGUAAGGGCGCGCAAAUCUCAAAAAGGCGGUCUCAGUUCGGACUGUGGGCUGCAACCCGCCCACACGAAGUCGGAGUUGCUAGUAAUCCCGAAUCAGCACGUCG